This 472-nucleotide ribosomal RNA is filed under the name uncultured bacterium. RNAcentral describes it as "bacterial SSU rRNA". It matches the Rfam family "Bacterial small subunit ribosomal RNA", at positions 37 to 507 of the family's 1533-position model. The record is from RNAcentral.
UGGCGGCAUGCUUAACACAUGCAAGUCGAACGAGAAUCUGUGGAUCAAGGAUUCGUCCAAGAGAAGCAGAGGACAGUGGCGGACGGGUGAGUAACGCGUGAGGAACCUGCCUUUCAGAGGGGGACAACAGUUGGAAACGACUGCUAAUACCGCAUAACGCGUAGAGGUCGCAUGGUCUUUACGCCAAAGAUUUAUCGCUGAAAGAUGGCCUCGCGUCUGAUUAGCUAGUUGGUGAGGUAACGGCCCACCAAGGCGACGAUCAGUAGCCGGACUGAGAGGUUGAACGGCCACAUUGGGACUGAGAUACGGCCCAGACUCCUACGGGAGGCAGCAGGUGGGGAAUAUUGGGCAAUGGGCGCAAGCCUGACCCAGCAAUGCCGCGUGAAGGAAGAAGGCUUUCGGGUUGUAAACUUCUUUUGUCAGGGACGAGCAGAAGACGGUACCUGACGAAUAAGCCACGGCUAACUACGUG